This 83-nucleotide transfer RNA is filed under the name Parachlamydiaceae bacterium. Its description in RNAcentral is "tRNA-Leu". It matches the Rfam family "tRNA". From Rfam's summary of the family: Transfer RNA (tRNA) molecules are approximately 80 nucleotides in length. Their secondary structure includes four short double-helical elements and three loops (D, anti-codon, and T loops). The record is from RNAcentral. Lineage: Bacteria; Pseudomonadati; Chlamydiota; Chlamydiia; Parachlamydiales; Parachlamydiaceae.
GCGGAAGUGGCGGAAUGGUAUACGCGCUACCUUGAGGUGGUAGUGGGAGUAAUCCCGUGGGGGUUCGAGUCCCCCCUUUCGCA